RNAcentral lists this ribosomal RNA (406 nucleotides) under uncultured bacterium. RNAcentral's name for it is "partial 16S ribosomal RNA". It matches the Rfam family "Bacterial small subunit ribosomal RNA", at positions 30 to 526 of the family's 1533-position model. The record is from RNAcentral.
AUUGAACGCUGGCGGCAGGCCUAACACAUGCAAGUCGAACGAGUGGCGGACGGGUGAGUAAUGUCUGGGAAACUGCCCGAUGGAGGGGGAUAACUACUGGAAACGGUAGCUAAUACCGCAUACCAUCGGAUGUGCCCAGAUGGGAUUAGCUUGUUGGUGGGGUAAAGGCUCACCUAGGCGACGAUCCCUAGCUGGUCUGAGAGGAUGACCCGCCACACUGGAACUGAGACACGGUCCAGACUCCUACGGGAGGCAGCAGUGGGGAAUAUUGCACAAUGGGGGCAGGGCUGAUGCAGCAACGCCGCGUGUAUGAAGAAGGAUGUCGGGUUGGAAAGUACUUUCAGCGGGGAGGCGUUACCCGCCGAAGAAGCACCGGCUAACUCCGUGCCAGCAGCCGCGGUAAUAC